Vicia villosa (hairy vetch) is the source of this 512-nucleotide long non-coding RNA. RefSeq lists it as uncharacterized. The record is from RefSeq and is a predicted model, not a curated record. NCBI's taxonomy places the organism in Eukaryota, Viridiplantae, Streptophyta, Magnoliopsida, Fabales, Fabaceae. The transcript has 4 exons.
AGGUACAAGAAGAAACCCUAGCACCGAUUCCUCAUUCCCACCCUAUUUCAAUUUUCAUCAAACCCUAAUUUCCCAUCUCUCAACCUCGUCUUUGUCUUCAGUUCUUCUACAUUCAACCUAGAACCGACACCGUCCUUGGGUUGAUUCAUCUUUAACAUCAUACCAAUUUGUUUUUGAGAUUUAUAUGCCCUAAUGCUUCAUAUUAUCUUCUUUUUUCGAUCCAGUUUUUUGGUGUGAAGACGGUUGCAACCAUGACUGAACUUGUCUGAAAGAAAUUGAUGGUGAAUGUUAGCUGUUUGAUUAAAUGUCUGAAAGAAUUUGAUUGUGAAUAGAGUCCUUAUCAAGGAGAAGAAUGUGUGUGGAAAGUAAGAGUUGAGCUACCAGAUACUUAUUCUUAUAAAUCUCCUUUCAUGGGCUUCAUCAAUAAGAUUUAUCAUCCAAAUGUUGAUAAUAUAUACGAAUCUCAAUGCACUUAAACUGUGUAAUUUGAAUACUUUAUCUCACAUUUUAAU